AGCAAACAGGAAGACAUCUUUAACACGUAACUUUCGGAGUAAAAAUUACAAAAAGAAUUCGUUUUUUUAGGUUAGAAUAUUUAACUCUUCAAAAACAAAAUUUCUAUAAUUUUGUUAAUCGGAUCAAAUUGCACCGCAUUGAAAGCUUAACAUGCAUUAUAUCCUAAAACAUCAGGCUUAAAACAAAAUAAGAUUGAAACAGCCUAAUCGAAAAUGAACGCAUAUACGAAAUUAAAAAAUGAAAAAUCACAUAAAAAAUCAUGGAAAAAAUGUAUUAAAACAAAAAUUAAGAAUUCCCUAAAGUCAUUAGAUUGGAUAGCUUUUGAAAUAGUUUGCUGUAUAUUUAAAUAGACGCGUGAUGAUUUUUUUU
Long non-coding RNA from Eupeodes corollae, 370 nucleotides. RefSeq lists it as uncharacterized. The transcript has 2 exons. The record is from RefSeq and is a predicted model, not a curated record. Lineage: Eukaryota; Metazoa; Arthropoda; Insecta; Diptera; Syrphidae.